This 252-nucleotide ribosomal RNA is filed under the name uncultured bacterium. Its description in RNAcentral is "partial 16S ribosomal RNA". It matches the Rfam family "Bacterial small subunit ribosomal RNA", at positions 525 to 776 of the family's 1533-position model. The record is from RNAcentral.
ACGUAGGACACGAACGUUAUCCGGAGUUACUGGGCGUAAAGGGCGUGCAGGCGGCAUGGCAAGACGGACAUGAAAGCUCGGGGCUCAACUCCGGGAGGCUGUCGGUGACUGCUGUGCUUGAGCGUGAGAGAGGGGUGUGGAAUUCCGCGUGUAGUGGUGAAAUGCGUAGAGAUGCGGAGGAACACCGGAGGCGAAGGCGGCACUCUGGCUCACGGCUGACGCUGAGACGCGAAAGCAUGGGGAGCGAACGGG